CAGGGGUCACUAGGCUGUUUAGAGGCUCCUUGUAUUUACUCCGCUGGCUCUGUUGUUCCUGGGCUCCUCCAUGUCUGCCCUUGGAAGCAGGUCUGGAGCAGGGAGCAAGGUCAGCUUCCCUAAAGACUUGAGUGACUAC
MicroRNA precursor from Equus caballus (horse), 139 nucleotides. Lineage: Eukaryota; Metazoa; Chordata; Mammalia; Perissodactyla; Equidae. The record is from Ensembl.